UAACGCGUGGAUAACCUGCCUCACACUGGGGGAUAACAGUUAGAAAUGACUGCUAAUACCGCAUAAGCGCACAGCACCGCAUGGUACAGUGUGAAAAACUCCGGUGGUGUGAGAUGGAUCCGCGUCUGAUUAGCCAGUUGGCGGGGUAACGGCCCACCAAAGCGACGAUCAGUAGCCGACCUGAGAGGGUGACCGGCCACAUUGGGACUGAGACACGGCCCAA
RNAcentral lists this ribosomal RNA (223 nucleotides) under uncultured bacterium. RNAcentral's name for it is "partial 16S ribosomal RNA". It matches the Rfam family "Bacterial small subunit ribosomal RNA", at positions 111 to 334 of the family's 1533-position model. The record is from RNAcentral.